AACGAACGCUGGCGGCAGGCUUAACACAUGCAAGUCGAACGCCCCGCAAGGGGAGUGGCAGACGGGUGAGUAACGCGUGGGAAUCUACCCUGAACUGCGGGAUAGCUCCGGGAAACUGGAAUUAAUACCGCAUGUGCCCUGAGGGGCAAAGAUUUAUCGGUUCAGGAUGAGCCCGCGUCCGAUUAGCUAGUUGGUGGGGUAAAGGCCUACCAAGGCGACGAUCGGUAGCUGGUCUAAGAGGAUGAUCAGCCACAUUGGGACUGAGACACGGCCCAAACUCCUACGGGAGGCAGCAGUGGGGAAUAUUGGACAAUGGGCGCAAGCCUGAUCCAGCCAUGCCGCGUGAGUGAUGAAGGCCCUAGGGUUGUAAAGCUCUUUCACCGGGGACGAUAAUGACGGUACCCGGAGAAGAAGCCCGGCUAACUUCGUG
Molecule: ribosomal RNA, 430 nt
Filed under: uncultured bacterium
Lineage: Bacteria
Description: partial 16S ribosomal RNA
Rfam family: Bacterial small subunit ribosomal RNA
Source: RNAcentral